This 401-nucleotide unclassified non-coding RNA is filed under the name Hevea brasiliensis (rubber tree). Lineage: Eukaryota; Viridiplantae; Streptophyta; Magnoliopsida; Malpighiales; Euphorbiaceae. The record is from RNAcentral.
GCUCCAUUACCUUGGUCGACAAGAAUGAUGAUUGCACUCGGUGCUGCCAAGGGACUAGCUUUCCUACACAAUGCAGACAGGCCUGUUAUCUACCGAGAUUUUAAGACGUCAAAUAUCUUGUUGGACUCGGACUAUACUGCCAAACUUUCGGAUUUUGGACUAGCAAAAGCUGGACCGCAAGGUGAUGAGACCCAUGUAUCUACACGGGUGAUGGGUACCUAUGGAUAUGCCGCCCCAGAAUACGUAAUGACUGGUCACCUGACUGCAAGGAGCGACGUCUAUAGCUUUGGUGUCGUCCUACUCGAGCUUCUGACAGGACGACGAUCGGUCGACAAGACCCGCCCCGGCAAGGAGCAGUGCCUGGUUGAGUGGGCUCGCCCCAAGCUCAACGACAAACGCAA